Molecule: non-coding RNA, 28 nt
Filed under: Rattus norvegicus (Norway rat)
Lineage: Eukaryota; Metazoa; Chordata; Mammalia; Rodentia; Muridae
Source: RNAcentral
UGCAGCUCCAUAUAGUGUGUGCCACCUU